AUGAUCAUUAGCACCACUUCUGGACUAUGCUGUACUCUAGAGGCUGUGGACUGUGUAGAGACUGGGAGACGAGUGGAGGCAGGCUGCAACAAGGGACAAGGGCUGGUGCCUCCUCAUUACGAACCAGACCUGGACCCAGUCGGUAUCAGAUGUGGUGACCCCACUUGGUGACCCUGCCCGCCUGUGGGGAAAACAACUUGUGGUUACCAUGUUGGUUCACAGCAAAAACUUGACCUUUUUCAAAUGUAUUUUUCUUGCUGUCUGCUUGUUUUAGUAAAUUACAAAACUACAUUUAAGAAAAGUACAACAUGUCUAAAGAUGACUUUUCAACAUUGCCUGCUCCCGAGCGUUCUCACUACUUAGAAAUACGUAAUAUUGUAUGUUGUAGGGGUUCCCUCAUGCCCCUUUUCAUGAUGGUGAUGGCAGCCAUGUGAGUGCUAGCUAGGUAGCGACCGGAACAUUAAGCUAGCCAAGACCAACAACACAAACAAAAGGACUAUACUAAACAAGUUAAAUGUCUUGCCUGUGAUGAAAUGUUUUCCACACACAUAGCUACGUAUAGUCUACUUGGACACCGCGUCCCCACACUUCCCACUCUCCCACUCUGAAUACCCUGAAGCCUGAAGUGUGUGUAUGUGCUGUGUGCAAGUGUUAAACUUCAAGAACAUUGACAAGAGGCAGUAGGCCUACUUAAACAUUGGGAGCAUUAAUAAGCUGUAUGUUACAGUGACUUUUGUGUUGUUUAUAGUGCCAUUAAAAAAAUUCUGAUGCAGAUUAUUUUGUGUUUCUUUCCCUUACAAUCAAAACAUAGUAUGCCUGUAACUCAAUGCAUAGGAAAAUUGUUUAUUUAUGGCCAAAUCUGAGCUAAUUCUAAAAUUGCGAUUAAUUAAGGGAUGCCAUUAAGUCGCUUCAUUAUUUUAAUUAUUUGACAGCCCUAGUUUAUGUUGUACCCUGUUGGGUUAGGGGAAGGGUUAACUGCAUUUAAACUGCAGUGAUUGAUGACCCAUUGACAGGGCAUUAUAACACUUAAACUUAAACUUUAAGAUAUGAAGAUAGACUAGAAAAAACAAUGCCAAAAUAUCAAGUCAACCGUGUUGAUAUUGUUGAAAAUGUUGUUUUAAUAUAAUUUUGAGAUUGGAUAGGCCUACCCAUUUAGAUGAGAUGUUGCUACACUGAGUGUACAAAAUAUUAGGAAUACCUGCUCUUUCCAUGACAUAGACUGACUAAGUAAAUCCAGGUGGAAGCUAUGAACCCUUAUUGAUGUCACUUGUUAAAUCCACUUCAAUCAGUGUAGAUGAAGGGAAGGAGACAGGUUAAAGAAAGAUUUGUAAGCUUUGAGACAAUUGAGACAUGGAUUGUGUAUUUGUGCCAUUCGAAGGGUGAAUGGGGAAGACAAAA
This 1398-nucleotide long non-coding RNA is filed under the name Oncorhynchus mykiss (rainbow trout). RNAcentral describes it as "lncRNA (ENSOMYG00000057048.1)". Lineage: Eukaryota; Metazoa; Chordata; Actinopteri; Salmoniformes; Salmonidae. The record is from RNAcentral.